This 71-nucleotide transfer RNA is filed under the name Loxodonta africana (African savanna elephant). It matches the Rfam family "tRNA". Rfam says of the family: Transfer RNA (tRNA) molecules are approximately 80 nucleotides in length. Their secondary structure includes four short double-helical elements and three loops (D, anti-codon, and T loops). Further hydrogen bonds mediate the characteristic L-shaped molecular structure. tRNAs have two regions of fundamental functional importance: the anti-codon, which is responsible for specific mRNA codon recognition, and the 3' end, to which the tRNAs corresponding amino acid is attached (by aminoacyl-tRNA synthetases). tRNAs cope with the degeneracy of the genetic code in two manners: having more than one tRNA (with a specific anti-codon) for a particular amino acid; and 'wobble' base-pairing, i.e. permitting non-standard base-pairing at the 3rd anti-codon position. Lineage: Eukaryota; Metazoa; Chordata; Mammalia; Proboscidea; Elephantidae. The record is from Rfam by way of RNAcentral.
GCAUUGGUAGUUCAGGGGUAGAAUUCUAGUCUUCCAUGCAGGGGACCCAGGUUCAAUUCCCAGCCAAUGUA